RNAcentral lists this ribosomal RNA (421 nucleotides) under uncultured bacterium. RNAcentral's name for it is "bacterial SSU rRNA". It matches the Rfam family "Bacterial small subunit ribosomal RNA", at positions 355 to 774 of the family's 1533-position model. The record is from RNAcentral.
UAAGGAAUAUUGGUCAAUGGACGCAAGUCUGAACCAGCCAUGCCGCGUGAAGGAUGAAGGUCCUCUGGAUUGUAAACUUCUUUUAUCUGGGACGAAAACGGGAUUUUUAUCUCAAUUGACGGUACCAGAGGAAUAAGCACCGGCUAACUCCGUGCCAGCAGCCGCGGUAAUACGGAGGGUGCGAGCGUUAUCCGGAUUUACUGGGUUUAAAGGGUGCGUAGGUGUGCUUAUAAGUCAGUGGUGAAAUCUCCGAGCUUAACUUGGAAACUGCCGUUGNUACUAUAGGUCUUGAAUUAUCUGGAGGUAAGCGGAAUAUGUCAUGUAGCGGUGAAAUGCUUAGAUAUGACAUAGAACACCAAUUGCGAAGGCAGCUUACUACAUAUAAAUUGACGCUGAGGCACGAAAGCGUGGGGAUCAAACA